UUACACGAGGAGCCUGACUGACUGAAGUUGCUUCAGCAGAAAAUGUUGUCAUAACUGCUAAUUCAUUCAAAGGCUAUGUUAAUGCUUGUCCUGAUAUAUUGAACUCGGACUUAUUUUAUGCUUUCAGAAAUGGGAGUAGCAGUAGCAGUAGCAAAGUGUUUCUUCUGUUUUUGUCUCUAGAGGCCUACAGGAAAUCUAGGUAGCAGAACCAAUACAAAUAUCAUAAAAUACAGUAUGUAAGAUAUGCUUAUGUGGUUGCCACCUAGUGACCAAAGGGCAAAAGCGUUUCUUUGAGGGGAAAAGUUGGAACUGCACACCCUCAAGGCUUGUUUCUUUUCUGGGGAAUGGUUCCAAGAUGGAUGCCAGGCUGAUAGCAGUACCUCAGAAGCCAAAAAAUAAAACCAGUUAUUGUUCGUUUUUAGUGUAUUUCUUCAUCUUCAUGUAUUUAAAUACAUUAAAGUACAAAUAGUCAAAAGAACCAAAAAGCACUAAUACAAAACGUCAAAUGCAAUGACAUUUAAAGGAGCAGUAGUCAGGGGGUGGGGUGGGAGAGAAAUCAAUUUAAAGGCCACUGAAAGAAUUGUCUUCAGUUUCUGGCGAGAGGCACUGAAGAUGGCGACUGAUGGAUCUUGAUCAGGAGGAAAUGGAGGCGUUAAACCUUUCCCUUGACAAAUACGAACACCCUGUACUUACAGGAAUGCACACCCCAUUCUUUAAAUUCUGAUAAAAUUAAAUCUCAUUCCUCACACUUUACACAGAGAUACAGCGCAAAUUCAGUAAGUUGCAGAAUGAUGAAUGGAAGCAUCCCACGGAGAAAUAUUUAAAUUGUCACAUUAGAAAAGUCAUAAAAAAUAAAAAUAAAAAUGCGUCAGCCCAGGAGAGAAGUUGCUUUUUAAGAAGCCUAAGAAAUAAUGGCCACAACUGGUGAUUGGAUGAACACAAUGAGAAUGAAGAUAAAGAACUGGAAGUCUGAUCUUUUCUUUUGCCCUCAUAAAGAAGCUCGGAACACCACAGUGGUGCCUGAACUCAUAAAUAAAGCACAAAAGAGACUUGAACCUUGGUCUUCAACAGCGCGAGGUAAAAUGUCAUUGCAUGAGAUAUUUUUACAUGAUUGGUUAUUGCAA
Molecule: non-coding RNA, 1124 nt
Organism: Podarcis muralis (Common wall lizard)
Lineage: Eukaryota; Metazoa; Chordata; Lepidosauria; Squamata; Lacertidae
Source: RefSeq, a predicted model, not a curated record